Molecule: ribosomal RNA, 524 nt
Filed under: uncultured eukaryote
Lineage: Eukaryota
Description: SSU rRNA
Rfam family: Eukaryotic small subunit ribosomal RNA
Source: RNAcentral
UAGCCAUAUGCUUGUCUCAAAGAUUAAGCCAUGCAUGUCUAAGUAUAAGCAACUAUACGGUGAAACUGCGAAUGGCUCAUUAAAUCAGUUAUCGUUUAUUUGAUAGUACCUUACUACAUGGAUAACCGUGGUAAUUCUAGAGCUAAUACAUGCUAAAAACCCCGACUUCGGAAGGGGUGUAUUUAUUAGAUAAAAAACCAAUGCCCUUCGGGGCUCCUUGGUGAAUCAUAAUAACUUAACGAAUCGCAUGGCCUUGCGCCGGCGAUGGUUCAUUCAAAUUUCUGCCCUAUCAACUUUCGACGGCAGGAUAGUGGCCUACCAUGGUAUCAACGGGUAACGGGGAAUUAGGGUUCGACUCCGGAGAGGGAGCCUGAGAAACGGCUACCACAUCCAAGGAAGGCAGCAGGCGCGCAAAUUACCCAAUCCCGACACGGGGAGGUAGUGACAAUAAAUACUGAUACAGGGCUCUUUUGGGUCUUGUAAUUGGAAUGAGUACAAUUUAAAUCCCUUAACGAGGAACAAUU